RNAcentral lists this ribosomal RNA (910 nucleotides) under Microbacterium ginsengisoli. Its description in RNAcentral is "bacterial SSU rRNA". It matches the Rfam family "Bacterial small subunit ribosomal RNA", at positions 40 to 965 of the family's 1533-position model. Lineage: Bacteria; Bacillati; Actinomycetota; Actinomycetes; Micrococcales; Microbacteriaceae. The record is from RNAcentral.
CAGUGUGCUUACCUGCAGUCGAACGGUGAAGCAGAGCUUGCUCUGUGGAUCAGUGGCGAACGGGUGAGUAACACGUGAGCAACCUGCCCCGGACUCUGGGAUAACAGUUGGAAACAGCUGCUAAUACCGGAUACGAGCUGCGAAGGCAUCUUCAGCAGUUGGAAAGAAUUUCGGUCUGGGAUGGGCUCGCGGCCUAUCAGCUUGUUGGUGAGGUAAUGGCUCACCAAGGCGUCGACGGGUAGCCGGCCUGAGAGGGUGACCGGCCACACUGGGACUGAGACACGGCCCAGACUCCUACGGGAGGCAGCAGUGGGGAAUAUUGCACAAUGGGCGAAAGCCUGAUGCAGCAACGCCGCGUGAGGGAUGACGGCCUUCGGGUUGUAAACCUCUUUUAGCAGGGAAGAAGCGAAAGUGACGGUACCUGCAGAAAAAGCGCCGGCUAACUACGUGCCAGCAGCCGCGGUAAUACGUAGGGCGCAAGCGUUAUCCGGAAUUAUUGGGCGUAAAGAGCUCGUAGGCGGUUUGUCGCGUCUGCUGUGAAAUCCCGAGGCUCAACCUCGGGCCUGCAGUGGGUACGGGCAGACUAGAGUGCGGUAGGGGAGAUUGGAAUUCCUGGUGUAGCGGUGGAAUGCGCAGAUAUCAGGAGGAACACCGAUGGCGAAGGCAGAUCUCUGGGCCGUAACUGACGCUGAGGAGCGAAAGGGUGGGGAGCAAACAGGCUUAGAUACCCUGGUAGUCCACCCCGUAAACGUUGGGAACUAGUUGUGGGGUCCAUUCCACGGAUUCCGUGACGCAGCUAACGCAUUAAGUUCCCCGCCUGGGGAGUACGGCCGCAAGGCUAAAACUCAAAGGAAUUGACGGGGACCCGCACAAGCGGCGGAGCAUGCGGAUUAAUUCGAUGCAACGCGAA